GACGAACGCUGGCGGCGUGCUUAACACAUGCAAGUCGAACGUGAUUUUUGUGGAAAUUCUUUCGGAAUGGAAAUAAAUAAAAGUGGCGACGGGUGAGUAACACGUGAGCAACCUACCUUACACAGGGGGAUAGCCGUUGGAAACGACGAUUAAUACCGCAUGAAACCACAGAAUCGCAUGAUAUAGGGGUCAAAGAUUUAUCGGUGUAAGAAGGGCUCGCGUCUGAUUAGCUAGUUGGAAGGGUAAAGGCCUACCAAGGCGACGAUCAGUAGCCGGUCUGAGAGGAUGAACGGCCACAUUGGAACUGAGACACGGUCCAAACUCCUACGGGAGGCAGCAGUGGGGAAUAUUGCACGAUGGGGGGAACCCUGAUGCAGCGACGCCGCGUGAGCGAAGAAGGUUUUCGAAUCGUAAAGCUCUGUCCUAUGAGAAGAUAAUGACGGUAUCAUAGGAGGAAGCCCGGU
Molecule: ribosomal RNA, 464 nt
Filed under: Parvimonas micra
Lineage: Bacteria; Bacillati; Bacillota; Tissierellia; Tissierellales; Peptoniphilaceae
Description: bacterial SSU rRNA
Rfam family: Bacterial small subunit ribosomal RNA
Source: RNAcentral